Molecule: microRNA, 21 nt
Filed under: Ornithorhynchus anatinus (platypus)
Lineage: Eukaryota; Metazoa; Chordata; Mammalia; Monotremata; Ornithorhynchidae
Description: oan-miR-1385
Source: miRBase by way of RNAcentral
UACCGCGUCCACCUGAGGGGA